This is a long non-coding RNA of Siniperca chuatsi (mandarin fish), 616 nucleotides long. RefSeq lists it as uncharacterized. The record is from RefSeq and is a predicted model, not a curated record. The transcript is spliced from 4 exons. NCBI's taxonomy places the organism in Eukaryota, Metazoa, Chordata, Actinopteri, Centrarchiformes, Sinipercidae.
UGUAAAUGCAUUCGUUAGUGUCUAAAUAACAUAUUUUCUCUUUUUCUUUGAAAGUCCUUAUUUACCACUUGACCUGAUUUUGAGUGUAUUCCAGUGUAUAGAACAGCGCACCCUACAGAUGGUGGCUAUAUUGCACUUUCAUACACAUUUUCGAUACACACGAGCGAAUUUGGCGGGCUUCCUUGUGAUUGGCUGGCAUGCAUGUGGGCGGUACCCAUAGGCAGUCAACUCCAAGGUCCACGCAGACGUCCGCGCUUUAAAAAUUAAAGGUGGAAAGCAGCAGCAGCAAGGCCCAAUGGAUGUACCAGAGGAUUAAACACAUGCAGUGAAACAUGCAAAGGCGAAGACGCAUUAAUCCAAAGGAAGAUGCAAAAUUUUAUGUUACUACUGAAAGGGACAAAGUGGGACUUGACAUCAAGUACAUCAAUUCCUUCAAAGGUCGUGGCAUCUUCACCUCUGUUCAAUUUGAAAAAGGAGACUUUCUGUUGGAAUAUAGAGGCGAACUAAUAAGCAAGCAAGAAUGUGAGAGGAGACAAAGACUUUACCAUGACCACCUUAAGGUGUUCAUGUUCGAGUUCCAUUUUAAUGGAAAACUGUGGUGUGUUGAUGCAGCAAA